GCCUUCGUGGUGUAAUGGUCAGAACACUCAGCCGGUAUUUCAGAGGUCCGUGGUUCGAUCCCCGGCGAAGGCA
Stegodyphus mimosarum is the source of this 73-nucleotide non-coding RNA. Lineage: Eukaryota; Metazoa; Arthropoda; Arachnida; Araneae; Eresidae. The record is from Rfam.